RNAcentral lists this ribosomal RNA (867 nucleotides) under Gammaproteobacteria bacterium. Its description in RNAcentral is "partial 23S ribosomal RNA". It matches the Rfam family "Bacterial large subunit ribosomal RNA", at positions 1 to 928 of the family's 2925-position model. Lineage: Bacteria; Pseudomonadati; Pseudomonadota; Gammaproteobacteria. The record is from RNAcentral.
AGCUCAAGCGCAAAGAAGGGCGUUUGGUGGAUGCCUUGGCGCCAAGAGGCGAUGAAGGACGUGGCACGCUGCGAAAAGCCACGGGGAGCCGCGAGCAGGCUUUGAUCCGUGGAUAUCCGAAUGGGGAAACCCGGCCCUUAUGGGUCGUCCCUUACUGAAUACAUAGGUAAGGGAAGCAAACCCGGCGAAUUGAAACAUCUUAGUAGCCGGAGGAAAGGACAUCAACAGAGACUCCGUUAGUAGCGGCGAGCGAACGCGGACCAGGCCAGUGGCAUAUCGUUAAGAACCGGAACCGUCUGGAAAGUCGGGCCACAGCGGGUGAUAGCCCCGUACGGGUAGAAAUGCGAUAUGUCCUCGAGUAGGGCGGGACACGUGAAAUCCUGUCUGAACGUGGGGGGACCACCCUCCAAGCCUAAGUACUCCUUGGCGACCGAUAGCGAACAAGUACCGUGAGGGAAAGGUGAAAAGCACCCCUAGCGGGGAGUGAAACAGACCUGAAACCGAAUGCCUACAAGCAGUGGGAGGGGGCAACCCUAACCGCGUACCUUUUGUAUAAUGGGCCAGCGAGUUAGUCUCUCGAGCAAGCUUAAGCCGUUAGGCGUAGGCGGAGCGAAAGCGAGUCUGAAUAGGGCGUCAGAGUUCGAGGGAUUAGACCCGAAGCCGAGCGAUCUAGCCAUGGGCAGGUUGAAGGCGCGGUGACACGCGCUGGAGGACCGAACCCACCUCUGUUGAAAAAGCGGGGGAUGACCUGUGGUUAGGGGUGAAAGGCCAAUCAAGCUCGGCGAUAGCUGGUUCUCCGCGAAAGCUAUUUAGGUAGCGCGUCAUGUAUUACCUACGGGGGUAGAGCACUGGAUGGGCUAGGGGGCC